Molecule: non-coding RNA, 26 nt
Filed under: Fragilariopsis kerguelensis
Lineage: Eukaryota; Bacillariophyta; Bacillariophyceae; Bacillariales; Bacillariaceae
Source: RNAcentral
UAAUAACAAGAGUGAUAAUAACUUAU